Myotis davidii is the source of this 73-nucleotide non-coding RNA. Lineage: Eukaryota; Metazoa; Chordata; Mammalia; Chiroptera; Vespertilionidae. The record is from Rfam.
GCCAGUGUACUCAGUGGUUAGAGCACCAGUCUGAGCACCGGAGGGUCAUGGGUUCAAUUCCCAGUCAAGGGCA